Molecule: ribosomal RNA, 533 nt
Filed under: Shouchella rhizosphaerae
Lineage: Bacteria; Bacillati; Bacillota; Bacilli; Caryophanales; Bacillaceae
Also listed under: 1 other name
Description: bacterial SSU rRNA
Rfam family: Bacterial small subunit ribosomal RNA
Source: RNAcentral
CCAAGAGAUUGGGCUUCCCCUUCGGGGGCAAAGUGACAGGUGGUGCAUGGUUGUCGUCAGCUCGUGUCGUGAGAUGUUGGGUUAAGUCCCGCAACGAGCGCAACCCUUGAUCUUAGUUGCCAGCAUUGAGUUGGGCACUCUAAGGUGACUGCCGGUGACAAACCGGAGGAAGGUGGGGAUGACGUCAAAUCAUCAUGCCCCUUAUGACCUGGGCUACACACGUGCUACAAUGGAUGGUACAAAGGGCAGCGAAACCGCGAGGUGAAGCCAAUCCCAUAAAGCCAUUCUCAGUUCGGAUUGCAGGCUGCAACUCGCCUGCAUGAAGCCGGAAUUGCUAGUAAUCGCGGAUCAGCAUGCCGCGGUGAAUACGUUCCCGGGUCUUGUACACACCGCCCGUCACACCACGAGAGUUUGUAACACCCGAAGUCGGUGAGGCAACCUUUUGGAGCCAGCCGCCUAAGGUGGGACAAAUGAUUGGGGUGAAGUCGUAACAAGGUAGCCGUAUCGGAAGGUGCGGCUGGAUCACCUCCUUU